RNAcentral lists this non-coding RNA (805 nucleotides) under Microcerotermes bouvieri. Lineage: Eukaryota; Metazoa; Arthropoda; Insecta; Blattodea; Termitidae. The record is from RNAcentral.
GUGAAGUUUUAUUCUUGCUUUUUCGUUCAGUGUUUGUUUGUUCUAUAUGUAAGUUUUUGCGUGAGUUGGUUAUGGAUCUAGAUGGUCUAUGAAGUGGGUAAUUUGAUUCUCAUUAGUUAUUAUUGGUUGUUCAAGUAUUCUUGUAUUUAGCAAUAUAUUUUAGUUUCGGUUAAAUUUUGUGCCAGCAGCCGCGGUUAUACCUUGGAAGCAUUUGAAUGUGUUUGGCAUCAGGUAGUUAUAUUACUAUAAUUUGUUGAUUAUAUUUUGUUUGUUGUUAGGUGAAAUUUUUAUUGUUUUUGUUUUCUUGUUUUUAUUUGGAGGCUAUGAAGCUCUUUUUUUAAACUAGGAUUAGAUACCCUAUUAUUUAGAGUGUUAAUUGGUUGUGCUUGAGUAGUAUUAGUUAUGUUCUUGAAACUUAAAGAAUUUGGCGGUAUCUCAUUCCGUCCAGAGGAAUCUGUCUCGUUAUCGAUAGUCCACGUUGGACCUUACUUAGUUGCUUUGGUUUGUAUACCGCCGUUUAUUGAUUAUCUUUUUAGAGUUUAUUUAAUUUUCUGGUUUCUUUAUUUUGAUUUAUUUCAGGUCAAGGUGCAGCUUGUUUCUAAGUGAAUGAUGGAUUACAUUGAUUUAUUUGUUUAUGGAUUAUUGGUUUUAAUAUUAAUAUGAAAUUGGAUUUGGUUGUAAUGAUUUGUAGAUUGUUAUUAUGAUAAAUGGUUCUGGGAUAUGCACACAUCGCCCGUCGCUCUCGUUUGUUGUUAAUGAGAUAAGUCGUAACAAAGUGGUUGUACCGGAAGGUGCAGCUGGAUUG